This 442-nucleotide ribosomal RNA is filed under the name uncultured bacterium. RNAcentral describes it as "partial 16S ribosomal RNA". It matches the Rfam family "Bacterial small subunit ribosomal RNA", at positions 338 to 795 of the family's 1533-position model. The record is from RNAcentral.
CCUACGGGUGGCAGCAGUAGGGAAUCUUUCACAAUGGGCGAAAGCCUGAUGGCGCAACGCCGCGUGCAGGAUGAAGGCCUUCGGGUUGUAAACUGCUUUUAUAAGCGAGGAAUCUGAUGGUAACUUAUGAAUAAGGAUCGGCUAACAACGUGCCAGCAGCCGCGGUCAUAAGUAGUAGUCGAGCCUUAUCCGGAUUGACUGGGUGUAAAGAGUUGCGUAGGUGGCAUAAUAAGUAGCUAGUGAAAUCUGGUGGCGCAACCAUUCAGACUAUUAGCUAAACUGUUAAGCUCGAGACCGUUAGGGGUAACUGGAAUGUCUAGUGUAGGAGUGAAAUCCGUAGACAUUAGAAGGAACACCAAUAGCGUAGGCAGGUUACUGGGACGGUUCUGACACUAAGGCACGAAAGCGUAGGGAGCAAACGGGAUUAGAUACCCUAGUAGUC